CUCCUUGCAGGGGUCCAUGAUUCCACCCAGAGAUGCAGAUACUUGCCUGGGGUUCCAAGCGAGGGCCCCCCACCUGGUCACCACCAGAACCUGGAUCUCCCCGGCACUGGAAUGAUCAGGGAUGCUCUGAUGUGCCAGAAGACAUCGUUCAAUGACAGCACAUGCUUCAGCUCACAGGCUAGGGACCCCCCAGUCAUGCUAUGAGGAUGCUCAAGCUGCCCUCCAGGGAGGAUUCUCCCAUGCACCCCCAGUCCUCAGCCAGCACCAACUUGCCAGAGGGAGUUGCCCACUCCCCCAUGGAAGUGAAUCCCCAGCCCCACAUUCUCAGCCUUGGCUGCCACUCAGAAACAGAUUCUGUAUCAGAAGCAUGAAACAAGCUGCUUCCUAAUUCAAAAAUCACGAGAGGGACAUGCUCUGAGCUAGUGCGACAGGGCCCGGUCUCUCAGGAGGCCAAUGAGGAAAGAGGAGGACAGGAGACAAUGGGUUUUCCCAGUGGCCUGCAGGGUCCAUAUAUGUUAGGAAGCAUGACCCAUCUUACAGAUGAAGACGGUGCAAUGCACCCCGGGGCUCCACCUCCCCUCUUGAGACUGGCCCAACCUUGCUAUUUAGAGUCCUCCAGCCUCCCAGGCUGGCUUCUUCCCUCCCUUGUUUGGAGCAUCACCCUGGCCUCCAGCAGAAAGCAGACGAGGCUCUUGCUUCCCCCAGCCUGGAAUGGGAACUGCCAGGUGGAGAGGCUCGAGAAAGCACCGGAUCCUUUUGCCCCCUCCACCAGCCCUAACUAAAGCACACCAGAAAUACCUACAUUUCUGGAAAGGGAUACAGCUUUUAUUUUUUGAACAGACCAUCUGGAAACAGAGGUGAGAAAUCUACUGGAAAACUUAGAAGAAACUGAAGGGGGGGAAAAAAGAA
Molecule: long non-coding RNA, 909 nt
Organism: Suncus etruscus (white-toothed pygmy shrew)
Lineage: Eukaryota; Metazoa; Chordata; Mammalia; Eulipotyphla; Soricidae
Exons: 2
Source: RefSeq, a predicted model, not a curated record